ACUUAGGGUGUAUUGCAUAGUGGAAAGCGGGACCUCGGAGGCGUAGGUGAGGCAGACAGGCAAGUAUAAGGCGCAGGGGCCUUGAAGAGAGGCCAAGACGCUCCCUUCAAGGUACUACUGUCUCGAUCAAGAUUUAAGGCUCCUUGACCUCAAACAGUUGUACUCCGAAAACCUGGCUGCAUUGGACCCUACCUGUGUUGUGUUGCCAUGAACAGCAUCGCGUCAUGGGCUGGCCGGGGCACAGCAAGGGCACUUCCCUCACCAGUUGACCCCAGACUGGCGGAAAC
Long non-coding RNA from Scylla paramamosain (green mud crab), 287 nucleotides. RefSeq lists it as uncharacterized. Lineage: Eukaryota; Metazoa; Arthropoda; Malacostraca; Decapoda; Portunidae. The record is from RefSeq and is a predicted model, not a curated record. The transcript is spliced from 2 exons.